RNAcentral lists this ribosomal RNA (492 nucleotides) under uncultured bacterium. RNAcentral's name for it is "partial 16S ribosomal RNA". It matches the Rfam family "Bacterial small subunit ribosomal RNA", at positions 29 to 507 of the family's 1533-position model. The record is from RNAcentral.
AGUGAACGCUGGCGGUAGGCCUAACACAUGCAAGUCGAACGGCAGCACAGUAAGAGCUUGCUCUUACGGGUGGCGAGUGGCGGACGGGUGAGGAAUACAUCGGAAUCUACUUUUUCGUGGGGGAUAACGUAGGGAAACUUACGCUAAUACCGCAUACGACCUACGGGUGAAAGCAGGGGAUCUUCUGACCUUGCGCGAUUGAAUGAGCCGAUGUCGGAUUAGCUAGUUGGCGGGGUAAAUGCCCACCAAGGCGACGAUCCGUAGCUGGUCUGAGAGGAUGAUCAGCCACACUGGAACUGAGACACGGUCCAGACUCCUACGGGAGGCAGCAGUGGGGAAUAUUGGACAAAGGGCGCAAGCCUGAUCCAGCCAUACCGCGUGGGUGAAGAAGGCCUUCGGGUUGUAAAGCCCUUUUGUUGGGAAAGAAAAGCAGCAGGUUAAUACCCCGCUGUUCUGACGGUACCCAAAGAAUAAGCACCGGCUAACUUCGUG